RNAcentral lists this ribosomal RNA (494 nucleotides) under uncultured bacterium. RNAcentral describes it as "partial 16S ribosomal RNA". It matches the Rfam family "Bacterial small subunit ribosomal RNA", at positions 28 to 507 of the family's 1533-position model. The record is from RNAcentral.
GACGAACGCUGGCGGCGUGCUUAACACAUGCAAGUCGAACGGAAAGGCCUGCUUUCCCUUGUGGAUUGCGGGUACUCGAGUGGCGAACGGGUGAGUAACACGUGAGUGAUCUGCCCCCAACUUGGGUAUAAGCCUGGGACACUGGGUCUAAUUCCCGAUAGGACUGAAGGGUGGUGCCUGUGGUGGAAAACGAUUUUCUAGUGGUUGGGGAUGAGCUCGCGGCCUAUCAGCUUGUUGGUGGGGUAAUGGCCUACCAAGGCGGCGACGGGUAGCCAGCCUGAGAAGGUGGACGGCCACAUUGGGACUGAGAACCGGCCCAGACUCCGACGGGAGGCAGCAGUGGGGAAGAUUGCACAAUGGGCGGAAGCCUGAUGCAGCGACGCCGCGUGGGGGAUGACGGCCUUCGGGUUGUAAACUCCUUUCGGCCGCGAGGAAGCCUCCUGGUUGGAAGGGUGGUGACGGUAGUGGUAGAAGAAGCACCGGCUAACUACGUG